This 56-nucleotide ribosomal RNA is filed under the name ascomycete sp. CH-Tl8. Its description in RNAcentral is "partial 28S ribosomal RNA". The record is from RNAcentral. Lineage: Eukaryota; Fungi; Ascomycota.
CAAGGUUGACCUCGGAUCAGGUAGGGAUACCCGCUGAACUUAAGCAUAUCAAAGGG